RNAcentral lists this ribosomal RNA (254 nucleotides) under uncultured prokaryote. RNAcentral describes it as "partial 16S ribosomal RNA". It matches the Rfam family "Bacterial small subunit ribosomal RNA", at positions 524 to 777 of the family's 1533-position model. The record is from RNAcentral.
UACGGAGGGUCCAAGCGUUAUCCGGAUUUAUUGGGUUCAAAGGGUGCGCAGGCGGUUCGUUAAGUUAGAGGUGAAAUCCCGUGGCUCAACCACGGAACUGCCUCUGAUACUGGCGGGCUAGAGAGAGGUUGCUGUGGGCGGAAUGUGUGGUGUAGCGGUGAAAUGCUUAGAGAUCACACAGAACACCGAUUGCGAAGGCAGCUCACAAAGCCUCAUCUGACGCUCAUGCACGAAAGCGUGGGGAGCAAACAGGA